This 485-nucleotide ribosomal RNA is filed under the name Fusarium sp. MS33a. Its description in RNAcentral is "eukaryotic LSU rRNA". The stretch from base 149 to 302 matches the Rfam family "5.8S ribosomal RNA". Lineage: Eukaryota; Fungi; Ascomycota; Sordariomycetes; Hypocreales; Nectriaceae. The record is from RNAcentral.
ACCGAGUUUACAACUCCCAAACCCCUGUGAACAUACCUAUUGUUGCCUCGGCGGAUCAGCCCGGCCCCGGUAAAACGGGACGGCCCGCCAGAGGACCCUAAACUCUGUUUUUAGUGUAACUUCUGAGUAAAACAAACAAAUAAAUCAAAACUUUCAACAACGGAUCUCUUGGUUCUGGCAUCGAUGAAGAACGCAGCAAAAUGCGAUAAGUAAUGUGAAUUGCAGAAUUCAGUGAAUCAUCGAAUCUUUGAACGCACAUUGCGCCCGCCAGUAUUCUGGCGGGCAUGCCUGUUCGAGCGUCAUUUCAACCCUCAAGCACAGCUUGGUGUUGGGAUUUGCGGAGUAAUUCGCAGUCCCCAAAUCUAUUGGCGGUCACGUCGAGCUUCCAUAGCGUAGUAAUUACACCUCGUUACUGGUAAUCGCGCGGCCACGCCGUUAAACCCCAACUUCUGAAUGUUGACCUCGGAUCAGGUAGGAAUACCCGC